Molecule: ribosomal RNA, 468 nt
Filed under: uncultured bacterium
Lineage: Bacteria
Description: partial 16S ribosomal RNA
Rfam family: Bacterial small subunit ribosomal RNA
Source: RNAcentral
GACGAACGCUGGCGGCGUGCUUAACACAUGCAAGUCGAACGGAAAGGCCCUGCUUGCGGGGGAUUCUCGAGUGGAGAACGUGUGUGUAACACGGGAGUAACCUGCCCUUGACUUUGGGAUAACUUCAGGAAACUGGGGCUAAUACGGGAUAGGAGCUCCUGCGGCAUGUUGGGGGUUGGAAAGUUUGGGCGGGUGGGGGGGGACUCCCGCCUUAUCAGCUUGUGGGUGGGGUAGUGGCUUACCAAGGCAUUGCCGGGUAGCCGGCCUGGGAGGGUGACCGGCCAAAUGGGGACUGAGAUCCGGCCAAGCCUCCUACGGGAGGAAGAAGGGGGGAAUAUGGCACAAUGGGCGGAACCCUGAUGAACCAACGCCGCGUGCGGGAUGACGGCCUUCGGGUUGUAACCCGCUUUCCCCUGUGACGAAGCGUGAGUGACGGUAAUGGGUAAAGAAGCACCGGCUAACUACGUG